AUGCAGCGGCACCUAAUGGUGACAGUUGUUAAAGCGGGGGAUCGCAAGACCUCGCGUCUGAAGAGGAGCCUGCGGCGGAUUAGCUAGUUGGUAGGGUAACGGCUUACCAAGGCGAUGAUCCGUAGCCGGCCUGAGAGGGCGGUCGGCCACACUGACACUGACAUACGGGUCAGACUCCUACGGGAGGCAGCAGUCGGGAAUUUUGGGCAAUGGGCGAAAGCCUGACCCAGCAACGCCGCGUGAAGGAUGAAAUCCCUCGGGAUGUAAACUUCGCAAGAACAGGAAGAAUAAGCCGGUGUGAACACCACCGGCGAUGACGGUACUGUUUGUAAGCUCCGGCUAACUCCGUGCCAGCAGCCGCGGUAAUACGGGGGGAGCAAGCGUUGUUCGGAUUUACUGGGCGUAAAGGGCGCGUAGGCGGCCACCGCAAGUCGACUGUGAAAUCUCCGGGCUUAACCCGGAACGGUCAGCCGAUACUGCGGGGCUAGAGUGCAGAAGGGGCAACUGGAAUUCUCGGUGUAGCGGUGAAAUGCGUAGAUAUCGAGAGGAACACCUGCGGCGAAGGCGGGUUGCUGGGCUGACACUGACGCUGAGGCGCG
RNAcentral lists this ribosomal RNA (599 nucleotides) under uncultured bacterium. RNAcentral describes it as "bacterial SSU rRNA". It matches the Rfam family "Bacterial small subunit ribosomal RNA", at positions 173 to 755 of the family's 1533-position model. The record is from RNAcentral.